This 337-nucleotide ribosomal RNA is filed under the name uncultured Pseudomonadota bacterium. Its description in RNAcentral is "bacterial SSU rRNA". It matches the Rfam family "Bacterial small subunit ribosomal RNA", at positions 29 to 351 of the family's 1533-position model. The record is from RNAcentral. Lineage: Bacteria; Pseudomonadati; Pseudomonadota.
AACGAACGUUAGCGGCGCGCCUAACACAUGCAAGUCGCACGAGAAAGGGCUUCGGCCCCGGUAAAGUGGCGCACGGGUGAGUAACACGUGGGUAAUCUACCCUCGAGCGGGGGAUAACAUUCCGAAAGGAGUGCUAAUACCGCAUAAGACCACGCCCUCGAAAGAGGAUGCGGUCAAAGCUGGCCUCUAUACAUAAGCUAGCACUCGAGGAUGAGCCCGCGGCGCAUCAGCUAGUUGGUGAGGUAAUGGCUCACCAAGGCUAAGACGCGUAGCUGGUCUGAGAGGAUGAUCAGCCACACUGGAACUGAGACACGGUCCAGACUCCUACGGGAGGCAG